CCUUGGAAGCUAUCGCGAAUAGAAGGGCCUGCGUAACAUUAGCUUGUUGGUGAGGUAAAGGCUUACCAAGGCCGCGAUGUUUAGCUGGUCUGAGAAGAUAAUCAGCCACACUGGAACUGAGACACGGUCCAGACUCCUACGGGAGGCAGCAGUAGGGAAUAUUGCGCAAUGGAGGCAACUCUGACGCAGCAAUGCCACGUGGGUGAGGAAGGUUUUCGGAUCGUAAAGCCCUUUUAGCGAGGAAAAAUGAUGUAUUGGUUAAUACCCGGUACAAGUGACGGUACUCGCAGAAAAAGCACCGGCUAACUCCGUGCCAGCAGCCGCGGUAAUACGGAGGGUGCAAGCGUUGUUCGGAUUUAUUGGGCGUAAAGCGCGUGUAGGCGGAUUCUUAAGUCAGGUGUGAAAUCUCGGGGCUCAACCCCGAAACUGCGCCUGAAACUGGGGAUCUAGAAUCUUUAAGGGGGUCGGGGAAUUUCAUGUGUAGGGGUAAAAUCCGUAGAGAUAUGAAGGAACACCUGAGGCGAAGGCGCCGACCUGGGAAAGUAUUGACGCUGAGACGCGAAAGCGUGGGUAGCGAACAGGAUUAGAUACCCUGGUAGUCCACGCUGUAAACGAUGAGCACUAGCUAUUGGGAACACUAGUUUUCAGUUGCGAAGCUAACGCAUUAAGUGCUCCGCCUGGGGAGUACGGUCGCAAGACUAAAACUCAAAGGAAUUGACGGGGGCCCGCACAAGCGGUGGAUUAUGUGGUUUAAUUCGAAGCAACGCGAAGAACCUUACCUGGGCUUGAACUCCUGCGAACGGUCAAGAGAUUGACUGGUGUCCUUCGGGAUAUGCAGAGAGAGGUGCUGCACGGCUGUCGUCAGCUCGUGUUGUGAAAUGUUGGGUUAAGUCUCGCAACGAGCGCAACCCCUAUCGUUAGUUGCCAGCAUUAAGUUGGGCACUCUAGCGAGACUGCCUGGGUUAACCAGGAGGAAGGUGGGGAUGACGUCAAGUCCUCAUGGCCCUUAUGUCCAGGGCUACACACGUAAUACAAUGGUGCAUACAAUGGGAAGCGAACUCGCGAGGGGAAGCAAAUCUCAAAAAGUGCAUCUCAGUCCGGAUUGGAGUCUGCAACUCGACUCCAUGAAGUUGGAAUCGCUAGUAAUCGUAGAUCAGCACGCUACGGUGAAUACGUUCCCGGGCCUUGUACACACCGCCCGUCACACCACGGGAGUUGGUUCAACCUGAAGCCGUGACCUUAACCCUCGGGAGAGGAGCGUCUACGGUCGGGCCGAUAACUGGGGUGAAGUCGUAACAAGGUA
RNAcentral lists this ribosomal RNA (1303 nucleotides) under metagenome. RNAcentral describes it as "bacterial SSU rRNA". It matches the Rfam family "Bacterial small subunit ribosomal RNA", at positions 198 to 1498 of the family's 1533-position model. The record is from RNAcentral.